This 339-nucleotide unclassified non-coding RNA is filed under the name soil metagenome. Its description in RNAcentral is "partial contains 5.8S ribosomal RNA, internal transcribed spacer 2, and large subunit ribosomal RNA". The stretch from base 1 to 120 matches the Rfam family "5.8S ribosomal RNA", at positions 35 to 154 of the family's 154-position model. The record is from RNAcentral.
GAUGAAGAACGUAGCGAACUGCGAUAAGUAAUGUGAAUUGCAGAAUUCAGUGAAUCAUCGAGUCUUUGAACGCACAUUGCGCCCUUUGGCAUUCCGAAGGGCAUGCCUGUUCGAGCGUCAUUUAUCAACCCUCAAGCCCGGCUUGCGGUUGGGUCCCGCCGUGGGCGACCACGGCGGACCCGAAAGGUAAUGGCGGUGCCCGUGGGGCCCUGGACGCAGCGAGCUUCUCGGCACGCGUCCCGGCGGUCCCCGGCGCCGUCUCCACCAAUCCACCACGCAGAUUGACCUCGGAUCAGGUAGGGAUACCCGCUGAACUUAAGCAUAUCAAUAAGCGGAGGA